GUGGGCAAAACCUAAAUAAUUUCUGGCUGGUCUGUAGUGCAGAACUCAAAUUUGGCAUGGUGCUCAUGACACUGCAAAUAUCUGAAGAUAUCAACCCAGAGAUUGAAGACUGCUUGUAGGAAUACAUACACUACUUAGCCGCAGGUGAAACAAUGGUGAAUUUGGGUCCCCACAGAAUGGAGCUCAAACAGACACUAUGCUCCUUCUGAGAGAGCUCCAGCAUGGAAAUCUCAAGGAGGUGGCAGAACUUUCCUUCUGAACUAUGGCAUCUUCAGCAAGGAUUCACACACUUAAAACUUGCUUCCCCUCCCACUUCCUGCUCCAGGAUGGAGAUGAGAAAUGGAAGUAAAAAGGUGAAGAUCACAGGUUGAGGCUCUGUGUCCUUGUCUGAUGAAGAUCCACACUGCCCCCCUCAAAGACUCAUUGCCCAAGGAAACAUGCCGUACCCUAGAGAAGUGCCUUCCAGCAUAGAUCAUCUGCUAGAACCAUCUGGAUGUCAUGAGCUCAGUGAAUUUCCUCUGCUAAAG
Long non-coding RNA from Passer domesticus (house sparrow), 527 nucleotides. RefSeq lists it as uncharacterized. NCBI's taxonomy places the organism in Eukaryota, Metazoa, Chordata, Aves, Passeriformes, Passeridae. The transcript has 6 exons. The record is from RefSeq and is a predicted model, not a curated record.